AGCAGCCACGAGAGAUCGGAGGAGAGAGAAGCAUGGGUGAGAUGCGGCUAGCGUCUACGGAGACUUUUCCCACGGGACGGCGAGGAUAAAUCAUCCCACGUCGACGGCUGAGUAACAGAGCGUGACUGUGAGGUGGUGCGGCCCGGACUAGUUUGCACUGUUGCCUCGAAAUAUCCUUAGUUAGCGGCGUGCUAACUUGGCUAACCGGAGUUAGCCCUCAAGGCGGACUUAGCUAAGGAUCACCGGACCUGUACAGAGCGAGAGGCUACCAACUGCUGAGGCUGACCGAUAAGGUUUGCUGCUCGGAAGGAGUAAGUGUGCAGCUGCAUGGACUAGGGACGGACCUCUCGACUUGCUGUGAGUUUGUGGAAAGAGACUUAGAGUUCCAGCACUUUAUCAAACUGUUGUCUGCUACAGAGUUACAAGUAUUAUACUAAUAAUAUAGCAUCCACCAUCUCCUGCUUGCAUAUUUCUGUAAACAUCUUAGUGGUGUGGCAGCCACGAGUGAGCCCUGCAAACCCUGUGGAUGGACGAUGCAGUGGACAGUGGGAGGAAGCAUCCUAAAGCUCUCUUUGCAGACCACCCUGUGUGAUUCUCCACUUGCCCACCAGAAAAGACAAACCGCAGGUCUCAGUUGCAGCAGCUCAUCCACGUCUGAUCUUGCUCGGGCAGAUUCAGCAACACUGCUGAAAAAAAAAAAAAAAAAAAAAAAAAAAACACUGCCAGAGACUUCCUGUAAUCUAUUACAGUUGUUAAAGAAACGGUCCAGGAACAGGUCACUCAGGUUGAUCCUGUGUGAACAACUGAAAAUAUUGUUUUUUAUCUUUACAUACUGUGUAUUUGAAAUAUUCUUGUUUAAUUGUUAUUGUUAUUUACUUUAUUGCUAUCAAAUAAAUAUCCAAGUAAUAUUGUUCAAAGUUAGCGUUAUGUUCAUACGUGUUACAAAUGCCUGUAAAUCAAAUUGAGUUCAGUGACAAUUACUGUUUGUUUGAAUCAAUUUAUUAAUAACAUAAAACCUUUAAACUAAUGCAACACAUAUAACAAUGUAACAAAUAUAUUCAAAUAAAUAAAUUUCUCAAUACAUAACUCAUUUGGGAACUAAUCUUUCUAGAAGUGAAAACAGUCUGUCCAUC
Molecule: long non-coding RNA, 1133 nt
Organism: Oreochromis aureus
Lineage: Eukaryota; Metazoa; Chordata; Actinopteri; Cichliformes; Cichlidae
Source: Ensembl